UGUCCCACCUGCGUCUCGGUCUGCGAAUAACAUAUUUCCACAUCUCUCUCGAUUCAGCCGUUUGCACUGUACCAAAAACAACAUUGUGGUUCGAAGAUAAACAGAGAUGCGACUCUAAUUUUCUCGAUCAGAAGGCGGAUUAAACAACAUAUGGAUCAGCAGUAUGAAAGCCAACAACACGUUUACCCAGGGCCAAGCAAGAUUGUGAUGAGGCAGUUUAUCGAUUAUGCAGGUUUCAACAACAAAUGCCGGAAGGUUUCUGCAUUGCUCGUAUUGACCGUUUGCUGCUUGUAGAGGCUAUGAUUUCGGAAGCGUUUGCUGCUUGUAGAGGCUAUGAUUUCGGAAACGAGACAGGACAUACAAGCCAAAAUAAUGCUGGAAAGCCAGGGUAGGCCAAUAUUUCCAGUGACUGUAUCGACGAGGGAUGAACUUUAUGCAAUGAUGAUGCAGACGCUCUGUUCGCCGCAAGAUGCAGCUAACCCUAUGAUACAGGACGAGCAGCAAGCUAGGAAGCAGGUUUACUCCAUGGUAGCUCGAUAAAUGCAGUGUUUGCGAUUUUGUUGCAUUCGAGUUCAUCGGGGAAGAUUAUCCUGUUUGCAAGCAAGACGGUUUUUGGAACACGCAAAGAAACUAUUCCAGAAAAACUGCUG
Molecule: long non-coding RNA, 650 nt
Organism: Anopheles coustani
Lineage: Eukaryota; Metazoa; Arthropoda; Insecta; Diptera; Culicidae
Exons: 3
Source: RefSeq, a predicted model, not a curated record